This 245-nucleotide non-coding RNA is filed under the name Heyndrickxia sporothermodurans. RNAcentral describes it as "Bacillus sporothermodurans T-box sequence". It matches the Rfam family "T-box leader". Rfam says of the family: Uncharged tRNA acts as the effector for transcription antitermination of genes in the T-box leader family. T-boxes are found upstream of many aminoacyl-tRNA synthetase genes and some amino acid biosynthetic genes usually in Gram-positive bacteria. The record is from RNAcentral. Lineage: Bacteria; Bacillati; Bacillota; Bacilli; Caryophanales; Bacillaceae.
GAUAAAUCAUUGAAUAAGAGGAGUACGUUUAACUAAAAUCGUCGCAGAGAACCGGUGUUGGUGGGAAUCCGGUACGAGGAGUGAAACGGAAUGGACUUAUGAGAGGUUUCUUGAACACAAAGUAGGGAAACACGGCCUCCACCGUUACAAGGAUAGGGUAUCAGAACUCAGUUCUCGUACCUGAAAAGAGGAAGGGAUAAUUCCCUUCAAAAAGAGGUGGCACCGCGAACAAAAUCGUCCUCUAU